Molecule: transfer RNA, 62 nt
Filed under: Prionopetalum kraepelini
Lineage: Eukaryota; Metazoa; Arthropoda; Diplopoda; Spirostreptida; Odontopygidae
Description: tRNA-Ala
Source: RNAcentral
AGGUAUAUAAUUAAAAUAUAAUAAUUAAUUUGCAUUUAAUAAUUACCCAAAGGGUUAUGCCU